AGUAAGAUAAACUAUGGGAAAGUUAUCAGACUCAUAAUCUGAAUAAGAGGGUUCGACUCCCUCUCUUACUA
RNAcentral lists this transfer RNA (71 nucleotides) under Cyanea capillata. Its description in RNAcentral is "tRNA-Met". It matches the Rfam family "tRNA". From Rfam's summary of the family: Transfer RNA (tRNA) molecules are approximately 80 nucleotides in length. Lineage: Eukaryota; Metazoa; Cnidaria; Scyphozoa; Semaeostomeae; Cyaneidae. The record is from RNAcentral.